Molecule: unclassified non-coding RNA, 202 nt
Filed under: Hevea brasiliensis (rubber tree)
Lineage: Eukaryota; Viridiplantae; Streptophyta; Magnoliopsida; Malpighiales; Euphorbiaceae
Source: RNAcentral
GGCUGAAGUUGGUGAAUGUUGGACAAAAGAGUUUCAAUAAGUUCGGGCCACUGCUUGUGAGGUAAUUCGAUACCGGCGAUCUUAGCAAUGACUUGAGAGGCAGUAGACCGAGCCUCGGGAACAGGGGAAGAAAGGGUAUGCAACAAGCAUUCUUUGACCUGUGGCUUCACAGAUGUAUCGAGAUAGUCUAGAGUCAACCAUU